This is a non-coding RNA of Sesamum indicum (sesame), 1343 nucleotides long. The record is from RefSeq and is a predicted model, not a curated record. NCBI's taxonomy places the organism in Eukaryota, Viridiplantae, Streptophyta, Magnoliopsida, Lamiales, Pedaliaceae.
GAAAAGCCAAAGCAGUAGAGAGGAAAGGGCAUGAAAAAAGGAAAAGAAAUUUACUGCUGGGUGCUUGGUUUACAGUUACUGCUAAUUUUUUUCUGAUAAUUACUUUGGUAGGAUUGAUUACCUUGAGAAGAACAAGAUGGUAAUGCUAGAAGAUUUAGUUAUUUAUCAAAAUCAAUAAACUUACUAUAAGCACUCUCUCUGUUGUCUGCACUUUAACUUGAAUAAAGUUUAUGACGUAGUAAAGAUUUUGUUUAUAUACAUAUAUGUAUAUAUUUAUGUAAAUUCAACUGCCUUAUGACUCAUAUUUAAUAUUGGAACUCAUAUCAUUCUUCCUAUCAAGUGUUCAGAAUUCAAUUUCUUUUAUCUUUCAUCUUACAAAUUAAGAGGAAGCUGCCGAAAGUUAAUCGGGCUCUGGCAGCCCGAUUUCUUGAGGAGGAGGAAGAGCUGAAUAAGAUUUAAGGAGGUGAUGAUGCAGAUGUUCAGAAAACAUCAAAGAAAAAGAAAGGUCUCACGAGUGAUGUUCUCAAGGAUGAGAGGUUUACAGCUAUGUUUGAAAACAAGGUAUUUCAUAGAGGUUCUGUUUAUCCAAAAAACUUGCUUUUCUUGAUUGUUGCUGUUAGUUAUGAUCAACCAUGUAGUACCUUGUUCCCAGGGAUUUGUGAAAUAGUUGGAACUUUAAUAACCUCCGGACUGUAAGUAAUAUAGAGACAUGUCAAAAUGCACAAGAAAUGAUAAUCAUUAUAUAUAUCUUUAGCGCAAAAAAAUCAAUUUUGACAGCAAUGAGAUACAGAUAUCUCGGCUGGUCACGGGCUUGAGUAUUAACCACCUUUAUCCUCCGAAAUUUAGGCUUCAUCAUUGGGAUAUCUCUCAAAUUAGCGUGACAACCUUUUGAAUAGUACACGAAUGUAUUGGGUGGAUUUUGUUUGAUAAAUGAGUGUAGAAAGAUUCAUUAAUGAUGAUGGCGUCACUGUUGGAAUCGUCCUGACAACCUAUGUAUUGGAAUUUGUUUACGUCCAAACAACAACCAAAUUAUGUAUCAUUUCUUGACACCACUUGCAUGACUUUAAGAUUGAUGAAUUCUCAAACAAACACCUAGCUUUGCACCCAAUGCCAUCAACAACAAGAAAAGGCAUCUUUGCUGGAGGAGCAUUUUGAAGUUGUUGAAGAAGAGGAUGAAAAGGCUAUUGGUCCUGCUGAUGCAUCAUCAGCGAGUGAUUUGUGAGAAGAUGACCAUGAAAACAUAAAGGCCAAAUCCAAGAAGAAAGUACAAGCUCCUAGAUUUUUCGAAGUGAAGGAUAAAUGGCAAAAGAAGGUUUUUCUAAAAACCCCUCAAAAACAGAGAG